RNAcentral lists this long non-coding RNA (848 nucleotides) under Manacus vitellinus (golden-collared manakin). Its description in RNAcentral is "lncRNA (ENSMVIG00005000845.1)". The record is from RNAcentral. Lineage: Eukaryota; Metazoa; Chordata; Aves; Passeriformes; Pipridae.
AUGGGCUCUGAUCAUUAUCACUAUCACCAUUCUACCCAGAUUUUUUUCAAUGGUAAAAACCAUCCUGGUAUGAGACGCAACCUGACUUCACAAGUACAAGGAAAACAGCCAAACUUCAUACAAAAGUUUGGACAUAGAACUCUACAAGAAGGAGAAGAUUUAAUUCUGCAUUGCACUAUACAUGGAAAGCCUGAACCACAUGUCUGCUGGACAAAGAAUGAUAUCCAAGUGGUAUCUGGUGAUAUCAGUAUUGAGAAAUUAGGAGAUAUCUAUUACCUUUUAAAAAGAAAUGUAGUCCUUGCUGAUACUGGGAAAUAUGUCUGUCUUGCCAGCAAUGAAGUUGGAAAGGCACACUGCUCUGCUUUCGUAACCGUGAUAGAGAAAAAUAAAACCCCAGAAACUCCCAGUGUAACUCAAGCUAAACCAGAAUGGAAAGAUGGAGACUUUUCAGAAGAAGAGAAUGUCACCACGACUGAACUCAUACCAGCCCAUGACACACAAUGUGAGAGAGAUGAUCUCCCAGUAAAGUGAUUUGCAACUUACUCCGUGCUACAACUUGUACUGCUGCAAUAGCUGUUUAAAGAGAAACUCUGGCUUCAAGGAGUGUAUUUUGAACUUGAGAGGCCACAGGAGAUUAGCUUCAGUUUGAGACAGGAUCCCCUUCUUCUGCAUGAUGCAGUGGAACAGAAGAUGGACUGAAGUGCAAGAUGUCUGAUUCCUGAGGGUGUUCGUGUUGUUUGCUGUGUCCAUUAGUAGAUCCUGCCAUGAGUGAGGAGAAGAUGAAUCUUUGACUGCUAUCCAAUGUAUUUCUAGGUUACAAUUUGUAUUUUGUUUCUUUACAAAUAAAU